RNAcentral lists this ribosomal RNA (514 nucleotides) under uncultured bacterium. Its description in RNAcentral is "bacterial SSU rRNA". It matches the Rfam family "Bacterial small subunit ribosomal RNA", at positions 25 to 518 of the family's 1533-position model. The record is from RNAcentral.
CAGAACGAACGCUGGCGGCGUGCUUAACACAUGCAAGUCGAACGCGAAAGGGACUUCGGUCCUGAGUAAGUGGCGCACGGGUGAGUAACGCGUAGAUAACCUGUCUUCAUGUCUGGAAUAAUACGCCGAAAGGGGUACUAAUACCGGAUAUUCUUGCUUUUCAUAAGUUAUGCAAGCAAAGGUGGCCUCUGCAUAUGCUACUGCAUGAAGAGGGGUCUGCGUACCAUUAGCUAGUAGGUGGGGUAAUGGCCUACCUAGGCGACGAUGGUUAGCGGGUCUGAGAGGAUGAUCCGCCACACUGGCACUGGAACACGGGCCAGACUCCUACGGGAGGCAGCAGUGAGGAAUAUUGCGCAAUGGGGGAAACCCUGACGCAGCGACGCCGCGUGAGUGAGGGAAAGGCCUUCGGGUCGUAAAGCUCUGUCAAGAGGAAAGAAGUGUACAAUGGCUAAUACCUGUUGUAUUUGACGGUACCUCUAAAGGAAGCACCGGCUAACUCCGUGCCAGCAGCUGC